RNAcentral lists this ribosomal RNA (213 nucleotides) under uncultured bacterium. RNAcentral's name for it is "partial 16S ribosomal RNA". It matches the Rfam family "Bacterial small subunit ribosomal RNA", at positions 566 to 775 of the family's 1533-position model. The record is from RNAcentral.
AGACGCGUAGGCGGGGAGUAUAAGUCAGAUGUGAAAUCCUGGGGCUCAACCUCAGAACUGCAUUUGAAACUAUAACUCUUGAGGGUAGGAGGAGAAAACGGAAUUCCACAAGUAGCGGUGAAAUGCGUAGAUAUGUGGAAGAACACCGGUGGCGAAGGCGGUUUUCUAGUCUUAUUCCUGACGCUGAGGCGCGAAAGCAAGGGGAUCAAACAG